AUUGAACGCUGGCGGCAUGCCUUACACAUGCAAGUCGAACGGCAGCGGGGGAGAAGCUUGCUUUUCCUGCCGGCGAGUGGCGAACGGGUGAGUAAUACAUCGGAACGUGCCCUGUAGUGGGGGAUAACUAGUCGAAAGAUUAGCUAAUACCGCAUACGACCUGAGGGUGAAAGUGGGGGACCUUCGGGCCUCACACCAGAGGAUGUGCCCAGAUGGGAUUAGCUAGUAGGUGGGGUAAUGGCUCACCUAGGCGACGAUCCCUAGCUGGUCUGAGAGGAUGACCAGCCACACUGGAACUGAGACACGGUCCCGACUCCUACGGGAGGCAGCAGUGGGGAAUAUUGCACAAUGGGCGCAAGCCUGAUGCAGCCAUGCCGCGUGUAUGAAGAAGGCCUUCGGGUUGUAAAGUACUUUCAGCGGGGAGGAAGGCGGUGAAGUUAAUAGCUUCACCGAUUGACGUUACCCGCAGAAGAAGCACCGGCUAACUCCGUGCCAGCCGCCGCAGUAA
This 508-nucleotide ribosomal RNA is filed under the name uncultured bacterium. Its description in RNAcentral is "partial 16S ribosomal RNA". It matches the Rfam family "Bacterial small subunit ribosomal RNA", at positions 30 to 523 of the family's 1533-position model. The record is from RNAcentral.